Ornithodoros turicata is the source of this 694-nucleotide long non-coding RNA. RefSeq lists it as uncharacterized. The transcript is spliced from 2 exons. The record is from RefSeq and is a predicted model, not a curated record. Lineage: Eukaryota; Metazoa; Arthropoda; Arachnida; Ixodida; Argasidae.
UCUACCACUGGCGUAUACACGUGUCCCUUACAUUCAUCACGGAUAUUCAUAUCAUCCGCAGGAAAUCAUUAAGACUUCCUCUCCAGACGUGUUCCUCUCGUUCCUUUUUUGAACGCAAAUCUUACCCGUAACAUAUCUCUUAAAAGGCGAGCGGAAAGGAAACCAGGCGACACAUCGGCAUCCGAAGCAGAUAGGACCACUCGGUAGGCAAGUUCAAGCUGCAAAGAAGUUGAAACUGAAAUUGUUUCAUCGUGUCCUAGAGCAAGAUGAAGUCCCUAUGGCUGAUCUCCCUUCUAUGCAUCGCUUAUCUGAAGAUAAACGCGAUUAGCGCGACCUCUCCUGUACGCCCACCCGACUGCGGUGUUGGAGAAGUGUGGACGGGAUGUGGAUCGCCAUGUCCUCUCGUUUGCGGUAAACCAUAUCCGACUAUCUGCACUGCAAACUGCCUUUACAAGUGCGACUGCCAAGAAGGCUACAUCCGAAGUGGAAGCGAGAACGGCCCUUGCAUACCGCUCAGCGAGUGCUCGGAGGUUCCGGAACCCCCCAGCCGUCCUGGGCUCUGAUGGCUUUAUUGACGGCACGAUGGCGAUUGUAAUUCGUCAAAGGAGACACCACCUUCAAUGUUCUAACUGAUAAUUAUUCAAUGUCUUGGAUAUAGUUCACUUUGCAUAAACACGUACGUUUCGAAAGUGCA